This 385-nucleotide small RNA is filed under the name Drosophila ananassae. RNAcentral describes it as "GF27929". The record is from RNAcentral. Lineage: Eukaryota; Metazoa; Arthropoda; Insecta; Diptera; Drosophilidae.
CUGUUUACAUGAACCACGACCAACUUAGCUCACUUCCGUCAACUUCCAUUUCUAUUUUAAACUCAAACGUGGGAGAAGCAACAUUCAUUUGAGAUGUGAACUAGUAAUUAAUGGAUGCUGCGUCCCUGCGCUGGCAUUUGAAAUUGAAAUGGAAAAUGGAGUCUAAAUCAAUACUCUGAUAUUGGCACCAAGAACCGUCAAAAUGGUCCAUUGAUAAAGUAUCAAAAUAGGCCAAAAUGAGGAAAUCUGAACGCUUUGCCUGAGAAAUUAGAGUUUGGGAAGAGCCCUUGAAGAAUGGAAACUUUGCUUCGAUCGAAAAGUGGUUUGGAUCGCAAAGGAACCUCCUGUCCCUUAUAAAAUAAAAAUAAAAAGAACUGUUUUAAAA